AGUAACACGUGAGCAACCUGCCUUUAAGAGUGGGAUAACGGUCGGAAACGACCGCUAAUACCGCAUAAUAUACAUGAAUCGCAUGGUUUGUGUAUCAAAGAUUUAUCGCUUAAAGAUGGGCUCGCGUCUGAUUAGCUGGUUGGUGAGGUAACGGCUCACCAAGGCGACGAUCAGUAGCCGUACUGAGAGGUAGAACGGCCACAUUGGGACUGAGACACGGCCCAGACUCCUACGGGAGGCAGCAG
RNAcentral lists this ribosomal RNA (245 nucleotides) under uncultured bacterium. RNAcentral describes it as "partial 16S ribosomal RNA". It matches the Rfam family "Bacterial small subunit ribosomal RNA", at positions 109 to 354 of the family's 1533-position model. The record is from RNAcentral.